RNAcentral lists this ribosomal RNA (589 nucleotides) under uncultured bacterium. RNAcentral's name for it is "partial 16S ribosomal RNA". It matches the Rfam family "Bacterial small subunit ribosomal RNA", at positions 355 to 1376 of the family's 1533-position model. The record is from RNAcentral.
UGGGGAAUAUUGGACAAUGGGCGCAAGCCUGAUCCAGCAAUGCCGCGUGUGUGAAGAAGGCCUUCGGGUUGUAAAGCACUUUUAUCAGGAGCGAAACGCUGUCGGCUAAUACCCGGCGGAACUGACGGUACCUGAGGAAUAAGCACCGGCUAACUUCGUGCCAGCAGCCGCGGUAAUACGAAGGGUGCAAGCGUUAAUCGGAAUUACUGGGCGUAAAGCGUGCGUAGGCGGUUCCUUAAGUCUGCUGUGAAAUCCCCGGGCUCAACCUGGGAAUGGCAGUGGAUACUGGGAGGCUAGAGUGUGUCAGAGGGUGGUGGAAUUCCCGGUGUAGCGGUGAAAUGCGUAGAGAUCGGGAGGAACAUCAGUGGCGAAGGCGGCCACCUGGGACAACACUGACGCUGAGGCACGAAAGCGUGGGGAGCAAACAGGAUUAGAUACCCUGGUAGUCCACGCCCUAAACGAUGCGAACUGGAUGUUGGUCUCAACUCGGAGAUCAGUGUCGAAGCUAACGCGUUAAGUUCGCCGCCCUGGGGAGUACGGUCGCAAGACUGAAACUUAAAUGAAUUGACGGGGUCAUAGCUGUUUCCUG